CGCGGCCAUGGGCGCCGGGGCGGCGGGUCCUGGCGGCGGGGCGGUCGCGCGGCGGGCGCAGGUGCGGGCCGGGCCGGGCCGGGCGGGCGCGGAGC
Molecule: microRNA precursor, 95 nt
Filed under: Mus musculus (house mouse)
Lineage: Eukaryota; Metazoa; Chordata; Mammalia; Rodentia; Muridae
Description: predicted gene, 54686 (ENSMUSG00002076923.1)
Source: RNAcentral